CACAGGAAAUAUCGCGAUCGCCUAGGUUACCCAUUCGCAAGCCCUCCAUUGGCUCUCCGAGUCUGACUCGGCGGGAGUUUCCGCUAGAUGACAUCACACAGCACAAUUAUCUUGCGCAAGUUACAUCUAAUAUAUGGGGAACGAAGUUCAAAAUUGUGGGGCUUGCAGCAUUUUUGCCAACAAAUCUUGGUGCAGUUAUCUACAAGACAAGUCUGCUUCACCUCCAGCCCAGACAG
Long non-coding RNA from Sinocyclocheilus rhinocerous, 236 nucleotides. RefSeq lists it as uncharacterized. NCBI's taxonomy places the organism in Eukaryota, Metazoa, Chordata, Actinopteri, Cypriniformes, Cyprinidae. The transcript has 3 exons. The record is from RefSeq and is a predicted model, not a curated record.